AUGAAUGAAAGUUUAUCCAUCUUAAACUGGAAUGUCCGUGGCCUCAACUGUCCAAACCGCCGUGCAACCAUUCAUGAAACAAUCGCCGCUACCUCUUGCAAUCUUGUUUGCCUACAAGAAACGAAAUUAGCUGUUGUUGACCCUUUUGUGGCUUCUUUCCUGGGCGGUCAAAGACUGAAGAAUUUUGCAGAUAAACCUGCUGAUGGCACCAAGGGGGGAAUUCUUAUUCUCUGGAAUGAAGACUACAUGAAGGUGCACGGCAUCCAUGUUGGCACAUUUUGCAUCUCUGCGAACAUUUCUAUUGUCAAUACUCCCAUCUCCUUCAAACUCACUUCAGUCUAUGGGCCUACGAGAAGUAAUCUGAAAGACCCUUUCUUCCAAGAGCUUGUGAGCCUCAAGCCUGCACAGGGCACUAGAUGGCUAGUGACGGGAGACUUCAACCAAGUUUAUCGUGCUCGGGACAAAAACCGUGCAAAUGUGGACCGCACUCGCUUAGUGCGCUUUCGGAAUGCCCUUAACUCAUGUGAGCUGAAAGAAAUCCAUCUACAAAAUUGA
RNAcentral lists this ribosomal RNA (555 nucleotides) under Triticum aestivum (bread wheat). Its description in RNAcentral is "partial small subunit ribosomal RNA". The record is from RNAcentral. Lineage: Eukaryota; Viridiplantae; Streptophyta; Magnoliopsida; Poales; Poaceae.